AUACGGGAGGCAGCAGUGGGGAAUCUUGCGCAAUGGCCGAAAGGCUGACGCAGCGACGCCGCGUGUGGGAGGACGCCCUUCGGGGUGUAAACCACAGUUGCCCGGGACGAACCUCCCCUUUCGAGGGGACUGACGGUACCGGGUGAGGAAGCACCGGCUAACUCCGUGCCAGCAGCCGCGGUAAUACGGAGGGUGCGAGCGUUGUCCGGAAUCACUGGGCGUAAAGGGCGCGUAGGUGGCGGGAGAAGUCAACGGUGAAAGCUCGGAGCUCAACUCCGAGUCGGCCGUCGAUACUCUUCGGCUCGAGCACUGUAGAGGCAGGUGGAAUUCCGGGUGUAGCGGUGGAAUGCGUAGAGAUCCGGAAGAACACCGGUGGCGAAGGCGGCCUGCUGGGCAGUUGCCGACACUGAGGCGCGACAGCGUGGGGAGCAAACAGGAUUAGAUACCCCCGUAGUCC
Molecule: ribosomal RNA, 457 nt
Filed under: uncultured bacterium
Lineage: Bacteria
Description: bacterial SSU rRNA
Rfam family: Bacterial small subunit ribosomal RNA
Source: RNAcentral